Small nuclear RNA from Suricata suricatta (meerkat), 192 nucleotides. Its record names the gene U2. It matches the Rfam family "U2 spliceosomal RNA". Rfam says of the family: U2 is a small nuclear RNA (snRNA) component of the spliceosome (involved in pre-mRNA splicing). Complementary binding between U2 snRNA (in an area lying towards the 5' end but 3' to hairpin I) and the branchpoint sequence (BPS) of the intron results the bulging out of an unpaired adenosine, on the BPS, which initiates a nucleophilic attack at the intronic 5' splice site, thus starting the first of two transesterification reactions that mediate splicing. Lineage: Eukaryota; Metazoa; Chordata; Mammalia; Carnivora; Herpestidae. The record is from Ensembl.
AUCACUUCUCAGGCUUUUGGUUAAGAUCAAAUGCAGUAUGUGUUCUGAUCAGUUAAAAUACCAGAUACGUCCUCUAUCCGAGGGCAAUAUAUUAAGUGGAUUUGGGGAACAGGGAGAUGGAAGAGGAGCUUUCUCCAUCCACUCCCCACAUCGAGCUGGCAGCGCAGUAUCUCCAGGAAUGGGGCACCCAAA